ACAGCCCCAUCUGUCGUAGGCUGGCCCAGGGGUGGCCGGGGACCUUGGACCAGGCAGCAGGGAGUGGCUGAGCCAUGCUGCACCCUGGGACCUCUGGCCUCCCGGCGAGGGUCAGAUGCCCCGGGAUGGGGUGGC
This is a microRNA precursor of Equus asinus (donkey), 135 nucleotides long. NCBI's taxonomy places the organism in Eukaryota, Metazoa, Chordata, Mammalia, Perissodactyla, Equidae. The record is from Ensembl.